CCAGAUCACAAAGGCACCUGUU
Molecule: small nuclear RNA, 22 nt
Filed under: Arabidopsis thaliana (thale cress)
Lineage: Eukaryota; Viridiplantae; Streptophyta; Magnoliopsida; Brassicales; Brassicaceae
Description: snRNA_06845
Source: RNAcentral